RNAcentral lists this ribosomal RNA (1399 nucleotides) under Brinjal little leaf phytoplasma. RNAcentral describes it as "16S ribosomal RNA". It matches the Rfam family "Bacterial small subunit ribosomal RNA". Lineage: Bacteria; Bacillati; Mycoplasmatota; Mollicutes; Acholeplasmatales; Acholeplasmataceae. The record is from RNAcentral.
UCUAGUGGCGAACGGGUGAGUAACGCGUAAGCAAUCUGCCCCUAAGACGAGGAUAACAGUUGGAAACGACUGCUAAGACUGGAUAGGAGACAAGAAGGCAUCUUCUUGUUUUUAAAAGACCUAGCAAUAGGUAUGCUUAGGGAGGAGCUUGCGUCACAUUAGUUAGUUGGUGGGGCAAAGGCCUACCAAGACUAUGAUGUGUAGCCGGGCUGAGAGGUUGAACGGCCACAUUGGGACUGAGACACGGCCCAAACUCCUACGGGAGGCAGCAGUAGGAAAUUUUCGGCAAUGGAGGAAACUCUGACCGAGCAACGCCGCGUGAACGAUGAAGUAUUUCGGUACGUAAAGUUCUUUUAUUAGGGAAGAAUAAAUGAUGGAAAAAUCAUUCUGACGGUACCUAAUGAAUAAGCCCCGGCAAACUAUGUGCCAGCAGCCGCGGUAAUACAUAGGGGGCAAGCGUUAUCCGGAAUUAUUGGGCGUAAAGGGUGCGUAGGCGGUUAAAUAAGUUUAUGGUCUAAGUGCAAUGCUCAACAUUGUGAUGCUAUAAAAACUGUUUAGCUAGAGUAAGAUAGAGGCAAGUGGAAUUCCAUGUGUAGUGGUAAAAUGCGUAAAUAUAUGGAGGAACACCAGUAGCGAAAGCGGCUUGCUGGGUCUUUACUGACGCUGAGGCACGAAAGCGUGGGGAGCAAACAGGAUUAGAUACCCUGGUAGUCCACGCCGUAAACGAUGAGUACUAAGUGUCGGGGUAAAACUCGGUACUGAAGUUAACACAUUAAGUACUCCGCCUGAGUAGUACGUACGCAAGUAUGAAACUUAAAGGAAUUGACGGGACUCCGCACAAGCGGUGGAUCAUGUUGUUUAAUUCGAAGAUACACGAAAAAUCUUACCAGGUCUUGACAUACUCUGCAAAGCUAUAGAAAUAUAGUGGAGGUUAUCAGGGAUACAGGUGGUGCAUGGUUGUCGUCAGUUCGUGUCGUGAGAUGUUGGGUUAAGUCCCGCAACGAGCGCAACCCUUAUUGUUAGUUACCAGCACGUAAUGGUGGGGACUUUAGCAAGACUGCCAGUGAUAAAUUGGAGGAAGGUGGGGACGACGUCAAAUCAUCAUGCCCCUUAUGACCUGGGCUACAAACGUGAUACAAUGGCUGUUACAAAGGGUAGCUGAAGCGCAAGUUUUUGGCGAAUCUCAAAAAAACAGUCUCAGUUCGGAUUGAAGUCUGCAACUCGACUUCAUGAAGUUGGAAUCGCUAGUAAUCGCGAAUCAGCAUGUCGCGGUGAAUACGUUCUCGGGGUUUGUACACACCGCCCGUCAAACCACGAAAGUUGGUAAUACCCAAAGCCGGUGGCCUAACUUCGCAAGAAGAGGGAACCGUCUAAGGUAGGGUCGAUGAUUGGGGUUAAG